Molecule: long non-coding RNA, 1888 nt
Filed under: Bactrocera tryoni
Lineage: Eukaryota; Metazoa; Arthropoda; Insecta; Diptera; Tephritidae
Description: uncharacterized LOC120782114, transcript variant X1
Source: RNAcentral
GGAAGACAGUCGAAUUUUAUACUUGUUGGUGGUGUUGUCGUGAGUGUGGUGGUACUUAAACAUGGACAGGUUUAUGAAAAGAACAGCAAGCGAACAGCCAAAUCCUGAUGAGGAUCAAAAGAAGAGGAGGCGUGAUUUUUCUAUAGCUUGGGAUCAUUUUAAAAGAAACAGCGAAAAAUGCAUAUGGAUAAAUGGAUAUGCAAUUACUGUGGUAAGCCAAUAAAGACGUGUGGAAACACAACAAAUCUAAUGGACCACUUUAAGCACGUUCAUGCUGAUCGGCUUAAAGUUGGGGAAACUGCACAGAAACCAAAUGUGUUAGAAAAGUUUGUUGGAAAAUUGGUUUCCUUUUAUGAGAAUGACUCGAAACGAAAACUUCUCCUAGACAGUAAGGUAAUGAACGUGAUUGCUGUCGAUGUUCAACCUUUUUUUUGUGUUGAGGACGACGGAUUUAAGGAGCUCAUGAAAGAAAUGGACCCCCGCUACAGGUUACCUAGUAGGUCACACCUACGUCGCGCAGGUGCUUCCAUCUCAAUAUGAGUCUCUUACGAAUAAACUCCAGUCCGUACUUAACGAUAUCGAUUUUGUGGUCAUAACGACUGACUUGUGGAAAUCCAAAGCAAACGAAGGUUACAUUACAGUUACGUGCCAUUUUGUUUCAAAUAGUUUUACGUUGGAGUCGGCAAUUUUAGCAACAAGGCAACUUCUUGACACUACCAAUCACAAUGCUAUUAAUAUUUCUGAAACACUAAAGGGCGUGCUUGAUGAUUAGGGUGUCACGAAAAAGGUUGCGACGAUGCUAAAAGCAUGUGAGUUCACACAAUCAACCUUAUUGUGCAAGAUGCUCUAAAAUUUCCCGAUUUCGACGUAAUUCUUACAAAAUGUAAGUCGGUAGUUGGCUUUUUUAAUAGAAGCCAGAUCGCAUAUUCAAAAUUUAAGGAAGCUCAGGGGGACAAUCCGCAUUCUCUUCUGCAAGAAAUGCCAACUCGCUGGAACAGCGCAUACGAAAUGAUUAAGCGCAUACUGAAGACAACCGAAUUUAUUACAUUAGCUUUGGUAUCUUCUCGUGGCGCUCCAUUGCCGUUUUCAGUAGCAGAAGUGGAUAUUUUAAAUGAUAUAUCCGAGUUGCUAUCCCCCUUCGAAGAGGUGACGCUUUCUGUGUCUACAAACACAAAAGUACCAGCGUCCAUAAUUAUCCCUGUCAUAUGCGAACUAAAUCAUAAAAUAAACCAUGUUAAAGUCAACACAGAAAAAGGCAAAAACAUAUUGACGACCAUAAAGUUUAGUCUUACCAAGAGGCUCGCAAGCUAUGAACCACACACAAUACCACGAAUUGCUACCAUACUAGAUCCCCGCUUUAAGAAACACGGAUUUUGUAAUCCCUUUAAUGCGGAAGAAGGUGCCAAAGCUGUGCAGCAUGAACUGUUUACAAAACUACCCGCAAGCCCACUACAUCCGCCAACAUCACCAACACAGGAACCAAGCCGAUUUUUCUACAAGUCAAAAGCCCAAACAAGGUGCACUCUUCCUGGGCAGAUGCCAUUAUACUGAUGAGACAGCAUUUUGGAAAGGAGAACCAGCCGGAAAAAUGUGACCCUCUUGCGUACUGGCAGAUUACUACAGAUGGCGACGCGUUUAAAACGUUAGCUAAAAAAUACUUCUUCGUGCGCAUCUGAAAGAGUUUUCAGUUAAGCUGGACAACUUAUAAGUGAGCGUCGCACGCGGCUAUCAUCGACCGUUGUCGAUAAGCUCCUCUUCUUAAACAAAAACAAACAUUUUUUAUUUACAAACUAAGGAUAGGACAAUAUACCAAAGAAGUGGAACAUGAAUAUCAUAAACAAUUUUAUUGUAAUUUGUUUUUCGUUUUCUUUUUUAUUUAAUAAGUGAU